GAAGAGCGGCUGAGUGGGGAGGAGAGAGGGACAGAGAGCCUGCUUCUUUAAAGGAGCAAAGCGGGAGAGGAGCCGCUUACACGAGUGUAAGCAGCUCCUGUCCGGUUGGUUCCUUUAAAGCAAGCAGGCUCUCUGUCCCUUUCUCCUCCCCACUCAGCUCGCUAAAU
This 167-nucleotide microRNA precursor is filed under the name Podarcis lilfordi (Lilford's wall lizard). Lineage: Eukaryota; Metazoa; Chordata; Lepidosauria; Squamata; Lacertidae. The record is from RNAcentral.